Long non-coding RNA from Drosophila pseudoobscura, 594 nucleotides. RefSeq lists it as uncharacterized. The transcript has 3 exons. The record is from RefSeq and is a predicted model, not a curated record. NCBI's taxonomy places the organism in Eukaryota, Metazoa, Arthropoda, Insecta, Diptera, Drosophilidae.
GAGAAAAAAAAUAGAGGCGAGGAAAAACUCUUAACAAAAUCGGCAUAAAAUCUCAUAUGUCCAUCCAUGCGUGUUUUGUUUGGUCCCUUAAUGGAAAUGUUAGAAGCCUAGGCGACCCUUGUUGUAGGUAUUAGAAAAAAAAAUAACGACUGGAGCGAGUGAGCAGAGCCCGGGCUAUGAUGACGACAGGUGGGACCCCUUCUUACAUAUACCCUGGACAGGAAGUUGGGUAUUUGUGUGCGGUUUGGGGUUACCAGAGAGCCCGCAGAGAGGUUGAGGGUUCAGUCCAGGACUCUGGUUCACGGGGAAAAACAUUAGCAAACAGCAGGACAUACAACACAUUUUAUGCACAAGCAUUUUGUGCGAUUCCCGCCACAUGCCCCUUGCUCUCUCUGUUGUACGUCAAAUGUUACCCCAUUCCCCUCCAUUCAUUCUCCGUCUCUGACUGCCUGUCGUCGUCGUCGUCAUGGCAGGAAGUCAUUGUAAAGGUAGUUAGUUAAUGUGCACAGUGGUGCGAAAAUGAUGAAUUUAUGGAAUACACACAAUUAUGGGGAAUGCAGAGGGGUUCCCUACUAGCUUUUCCCUGAUUGUAAG